GGGGUCAUAGCUCAGCUGGUCAGAGCGCUGCGCUCACAUCGCAGAGGUCACAGGUUCGACUCCUGUUGACCCCA
Molecule: transfer RNA, 74 nt
Filed under: Caldanaerobacter subterraneus subsp. tengcongensis MB4
Lineage: Bacteria; Bacillati; Bacillota; Clostridia; Thermoanaerobacterales; Thermoanaerobacteraceae
Also listed under: 1 other name
Description: Thermoanaerobacter tengcongensis MB4 tRNA
Rfam family: tRNA
About the family: Transfer RNA (tRNA) molecules are approximately 80 nucleotides in length. Their secondary structure includes four short double-helical elements and three loops (D, anti-codon, and T loops).
Source: Rfam by way of RNAcentral